This 305-nucleotide ribosomal RNA is filed under the name uncultured bacterium. RNAcentral's name for it is "bacterial SSU rRNA". It matches the Rfam family "Bacterial small subunit ribosomal RNA", at positions 338 to 661 of the family's 1533-position model. The record is from RNAcentral.
CCUACGGGAGGCAGCAGUGGGGGAUAUUGCACAAUGGGGGAAGCCCUGAUGCAGCAACGCCGCGUGAGUGAAGAAGGUCUUCGGAUUGUAAAGCUCUGUUCUUGGUGAAGAUAAUGACGGUAGCCAAGGAGAAAGCUCCGGCUAACUACGUGCCAGCAGCCGCGGUAAUACGGAGGAUGCGAGCGUUAUCCGGAUUUAUUGGGUUUAAAGGGUGCGCAGGCGGACCAUCAAGUCAGCGGUAAAAUCGUGGGGCCCAACCCCAUCCCGCCGUUGAAACUGGCGGACUUGAGUGUGCGAGAAGUAUG